Molecule: ribosomal RNA, 756 nt
Filed under: Pseudomonas gessardii
Lineage: Bacteria; Pseudomonadati; Pseudomonadota; Gammaproteobacteria; Pseudomonadales; Pseudomonadaceae
Description: bacterial SSU rRNA
Rfam family: Bacterial small subunit ribosomal RNA
Source: RNAcentral
UUCUAAAUGCAGUCUAGCGGUAGAGAGAANCUUGCUUCUCUUGAGAGCGGCGGACGGGUGAGUAAUGCCUAUCGAAUCUGCCUGGUAGUGGGGGAUAACGUUCGGAAACGGACGCUAAUACCGCAUACGUCCUACGGGAGAAAGCANGGGACCUUCGGGCCUUGCGCUAUCAGAUGAGCCUAGGUCGGAUUANCUAGUUGGUGGGGUAAUGGCUCACCNAGGCGACGAUCCGUAACUGGUCUGANAGGAUGAUCAGUCACACUGGAACUGAGACACGGUCCANACUCCUACGGGAGGCAGCAGUGGGGAAUAUUGGACAAUGNNCGAAAGCCUGAUCCAGCCAUGCCGCGUGUGUGAAGAAGGUCUUCGGAUUGUAAAGCACUUUAAGUUGGGAGGAAGGGUUGUAGAUUAAUACUCUGCAAUUUUGACGUUACCGACAGAAUAAGCACCGGCUAACUCUGUGCCAGCAGCCGCGGUAAUACAGAGGGUGCAAGCGUUAAUCGGAAUUACUGGGCGUAAAGCGCGCGUAGGUGGUUAGUUAAGUUGGAUGUGAAAUCCCCGGGCUCAACCUGGGAACUGCAUUCAAAACUGACUGACUAGAGUAUGGUAGAGGGUGGUGGAAUUUCCUGUGUAGCGGUGAAAUGCGUAGAUAUAGGAAGGAACACCAGUGGCGAAGGCGACCACCUGGACUGAUACUGACACUGAGGUGCGAAAGCGUGGGGAGCAAACAGGAUUANAUACCCUGGUAGUCCACGC